UGGUAAGUCUGGUAUGCAUGGAAAUGUGACCGAAAUUCCGGACAACCCAGUAAAGGGCAAGGCAACAAGUCAUUAUUGUAAUUAUGUUAAUAGUCACCCAAACCGCCCACACAGCCACACACCCACACAGGACAUCCCGCAUAUAAAGAAAGGGAUGGAGAGUACGUGCCCCGAGAAAAUGAAACUGUGACAUCCAAGAGACUGGAUUCUAAACUGCUUGAUGGCCUGGUCAUAAGGCCGGAAGUCUGUCAAUUUGCGUAUAAUUUGUUUAUGAGCUUCGCACACACCCGACGCACACACGCAUCUACAAAAACGCCUCCAGAACGGAUACGGAAGCUGGAAAUCAGAGCAAGGAAACGUUUUGAUUUCAUUCAGCUAUCACCGUCUCUCGUACUCUCUAGGUACAAUUGUACUUUCAGAUAUUGGCAGAAGUGCAGCAACAAAUGAUGAGCAGCAAAGUCGACAAUGCGAUUUGCGUUCGUUGCUUUCUUAGCCGUUCUUUCGUUUUUUUUUUUUUGUAUUUUAUGCGCUCUUUUCAACUUCUUAGUAUGAAAAAACUAUUCAAGUCUAAUGGCACGAAAGAAAAUAAUGACGCACAAUACACUUCGACAGUUUAAGCGGAUUCACAUGAUUACAACCCAGUGGAGAAAGAAGAGAGUACAAAGAAGAGUGGCGAAACAGUGCAAUAGAGAAAACUGAGAACGAAGAACUGAGAAAGAAGAAGGAACAAGCAGCAACCAAGUGAUGGUGAUGACUAGGACUUUAAGCGGAGCUUUUAUGCGGACAUUUAUAACCAAUGAAAUCAGCUAUAAAAUACUUAAAGGGACCCCGCCUGCUCAACGGAGAAGGA
Long non-coding RNA from Drosophila eugracilis, 850 nucleotides. RefSeq lists it as uncharacterized. The record is from RefSeq and is a predicted model, not a curated record. The transcript has 3 exons. Lineage: Eukaryota; Metazoa; Arthropoda; Insecta; Diptera; Drosophilidae.